UACAGAGGGGGGCAAGCGUUUGUUCGGAAUUACUGGGCGUAAAGGGCGCGUAGGCGGCCUUCUAAGUCGAACGUGAAAUCCCCGGGCUCAACCCGGGAACUGCGUCCGAUACUGGAAGGCUUGAAUCCGGGAGAGGGAUGUGGAAUUCCAGGUGUAGCGGUGAAAUGCGUAGAUAUCUGGAGGAACACCGGUGGCGAAGGCGACAUCCUGGACCGGUAUUGACGCUGAGGCGCGAAAGCCAGGGGAGCAAACGGG
This 255-nucleotide ribosomal RNA is filed under the name uncultured bacterium. RNAcentral's name for it is "partial 16S ribosomal RNA". It matches the Rfam family "Bacterial small subunit ribosomal RNA", at positions 524 to 776 of the family's 1533-position model. The record is from RNAcentral.